RNAcentral lists this ribosomal RNA (382 nucleotides) under Millerozyma farinosa. RNAcentral's name for it is "eukaryotic LSU rRNA". The stretch from base 1 to 125 matches the Rfam family "5.8S ribosomal RNA", at positions 30 to 154 of the family's 154-position model. The record is from RNAcentral. Lineage: Eukaryota; Fungi; Ascomycota; Pichiomycetes; Serinales; Debaryomycetaceae.
GCAUCGAUGAAGAACGCAGCGAAAUGCGAUAAGUAAUAUGAAUUGCAGAUUUUCGUGAAUCAUCGAAUCUUUGAACGCACAUUGCGCCCUUUGGUAUUCCAAAGGGCAUGCCUGUUUGAGCGUCAUUUCUCUCUCAAACCGCAAGGUUUGGUGUUGAGCGAUAUAGAUAUUCAGUAUCUAUUUGCUUGAAAUGGAUUGGCAUGAGUAUUUACAGUAGAUAAAUGCCGUUUGACUCUUCAAUGUAUUAGGUCUAACCAACUCGUUGAAACAGUUAGCGGUAGUAUCUGUGUAAAAGAGGCUCGGCCUUACAACAAUCUACAAAGUUUGACCUCAAAUCAGGUAGGAAUACCCGCUGAACUUAAGCAUAUCAAUAAGCGGAGGA